This 922-nucleotide ribosomal RNA is filed under the name uncultured Bacteroidota bacterium. RNAcentral's name for it is "bacterial SSU rRNA". It matches the Rfam family "Bacterial small subunit ribosomal RNA", at positions 1 to 916 of the family's 1533-position model. Lineage: Bacteria; Pseudomonadati; Bacteroidota. The record is from RNAcentral.
GGAUCCAGACUUUGAUCCUGGCUCAGGAUGAACGCUAGCUACAGGCCUAACACAUGCAAGUCGAGGGGAAACGGCAGCUUAGCUUGCUAAGCUGGACGUCGACCGGCGCACGGGUGAGUAACGCGUAUCCAACCUGCCCCACGGUGAGGGAUAACCCGCGGAAACGCGGCCUAAUACCUCAUGGUCUCCGAGCUUGACAUCAACCUUGGAGUAAAGAUUCAUUGCCGUGGGAUGGGGAUGCGUCUGAUUAGCUUGUUGGCGGGGCAACGGCCCACCAAGGCAACGAUCAGUAGGGGUUCUGAGAGGAAAGCCCCCCACAUUGGAACUGAGACACGGUCCAAACUCCUACGGGAGGCAGCAGUGAGGAAUAUUGGUCAAUGGGCGAGAGCCUGAACCAGCCAAGUAGCGUGCAGGAAGACGGCCCUAUGGGUUGUAAACUGCUUUUAUGCGGGGAUAAAGCGGGCGACGUGUCGCCCUUUGCAGGUACCGCAUGAAUAAGGACCGGCUAAUUCCGUGCCAGCAGCCGCGGUAAUACGGAAGGUCCGGGCGUUAUCCGGAUUUAUUGGGUUUAAAGGGAGCGCAGGCCGGGUAUUAAGCGUGUUGUGAAAUGUAGGCGCCCAACGUCUGCACCGCAGCGCGAACCGGUGCCCUUGAGUACGCACGACGUUGGCGGAAUUCGCCGUGUAGCGGUGAAAUGCUUAGAUAUGGCGAAGAACUCCGAUUGCGAAGGCAGCUGACGGGAGCGCUACUGACGCUCAUGCUCGAAAGCGCGGGUACCGAACAGGAUUAGAUACCCUGGUAGUCCGCGCGGUAAACGAUGGAUGCCCGCUAUUUGCGCAUUAGCGCAAGUGGCCAAGUGAAAACGUUAAGCAUCCCACCUGGGGAGUACGCCGGCAACGGUGCAACUCAAAGGAAUUGACGG